CUUCCUUGGGCAAGUUCUUGAAUUCCAGCCACUGCAAUCCCCAGCCACUGUCAAAACAGUGCCUACAUUGCCCACAAUGCAACUCAACUCACUAGUUAGGCUGGUGUGAGCUAGUAGUGGCCAGCUGGAGCAGAAAUGAGGAGCAGGCCACAGCCAUCUGUGGGCCAUGGGAAACAUGACUGGAUCUCAGGAAGCAGGUUGACAGAGAAUGCUGGUGUGAUGUACAGAUAUUGCCGGUGCCCUUCAGUGCUAACAUCCAGGGAGUACAACUUGGAGAGCACUUCGUUGUGAGAGAAAAAAAGCAGACUGCGCCUACAUCCACGCCAAACUCCUGAUCCGCUCCUCCAAUGUCCAUAGGGGCAAUGUCCACGAUUGGCAGACGGGAGGUUUUCUGUGUUUUGUACUCAAAGACAGUCUUGCCCCACCGGCCUCUCACCUUGCAGCCAUCCUCCACCACGCUGUAUGUGAAGCGACUGUUGCCCUCUGCGCGGAUCUCCACAUCGUUGGAGCCCUGCAGCAGCAGAGCCUUCUUCAGGUUGCCUGUGGCCAGGUCCAUGUAGGCAACGCUGUUCUUGCAGUGGUACGUGAGGUUCUGGGAUGCUUCAGUGGACAGAAGCCUCAAGAAAGUCAGCUGGACACUGGCAGCAGGGCCAUCCUGAGCGUAGCUGAACUGCAACGACCAGAAGAUGGGACGGGGGGUUCAUUAGCAGCUUUCACGUUAAGUCUCUUCAAGAUCAGUUUAUAGAAAAAGAAAUGAUCUCAAGCAGUGUAUUGUGAAAGUGCACUCACGUGGAAUCCUCCAUUCAUGGUCUCUCCGAACCAGAUGUGUUUGUGGGCCUUGCUCUGGCUGGUCCACCAGUUCUUCUGUGGUACCUUGGCGAUGCUUGGGUAGACGCAGGUCUCUCCAGUCUCCAUGUUACAGAAGACCUUCAUGGCAUCGGCUGUGCUGCCAAUGUUGGGAUCAACCCAGUAGUCACCUGGAGAGAUGAGAAAAGUGGGUGAAUAAUGAGUGAAUCUUGAUUAACUAAAUGCAGCUUUGGUAACUUCUGUUUUUAUUCUAGAAGUAGAUGGCGAGCCUGUUGAAUGGCUCAAACCCAAAGACCAAAUCAUGUAUGUAUUUUGAAGAAAUGCUACUUAACAACAGUCUCUUCCGGGUCAACUGGCCAUUGAUCCUUGUGCUUGAGAUGUGUAAAAUCUGCAAAUUUGUUUGUUUCUGUUAUAAUUUUCAGCUCUAACUGCAACGUUUAAAGAUGUAUUGUUAAACACGGUGGUCCGGUGACGUAUCUGCUGUGCUUAUUUUAUGUACUGCGUUGCUUUGCUAGAGUCUUCUAUAAACCAAAUCGACCCAAUUGUGACAUCUCACCGCUGGUCAGGCUAGUUUUGGGUAGGCUCAAGCUUUUAUUUUGUGUGGUCCAACAUGUAAAUUAGGACCUCCAGAAAAACUGCCUUCACGAACUUUUACACAACCAAUCAAUAAAAUGAGAGGAAAGGAUAUAAAUAUA
Molecule: long non-coding RNA, 1502 nt
Organism: Micropterus dolomieu (smallmouth bass)
Lineage: Eukaryota; Metazoa; Chordata; Actinopteri; Centrarchiformes; Centrarchidae
Exons: 4
Source: RefSeq, a predicted model, not a curated record